AACGAACGCUGGCGGCAUGCCUAACACAUGCAAGUCGAACGAGACCUUCGGGUCUAGUGGCGCACGGGUGCGUAACGCGUGGGAACCUGCCUUUAGGUUCGGAAUAACUCAGAGAAAUUUGAGCUAAUACCGGAUGAUGUCUUCGGACCAAAGAUUUAUCGCCUUUAGAUGGGCCCGCGUUGGAUUAGCUAGUUGGUGGGGUAAAGGCCUACCAAGGCGACGAUCCAUAGCUGGUCUGAGAGGAUGAUCAGCCACACUGGGACUGAGACACGGCCCAGACUCCUACGGGAGGCAGCAGUGGGGAAUAUUGGACAAUGGGCGAAAGCCUGAUACAGCAAUGCCGCGUGAGUGAUGAAGGCCUUAGGGUUGUAAAGCUCUUUUACCCGAGAUGAUAAUGACAGUAACGGGAGAAUAAGCUCCGGCUAACUCCGUG
RNAcentral lists this ribosomal RNA (433 nucleotides) under uncultured bacterium. RNAcentral describes it as "partial 16S ribosomal RNA". It matches the Rfam family "Bacterial small subunit ribosomal RNA", at positions 29 to 507 of the family's 1533-position model. The record is from RNAcentral.